AUUGAACGCUGGCGGCAUGCCUUACACAUGCAAGUCGAACGGCAGCACGGGAGCAAUCCUGGUGGCGAGUGGCGAACGGGUGAGUAAUAUAUCGGAACGUGCCCAGUCGUGGGGAUAACGUAGAGAAAUUUACGCUAAUACCGCAUACGAUCUAAGGAUGAAAGCGGGGGGACCGUAAGGCCUCGCGCGAUUGGAGCGGCUGAUAUCAGAUUAGGUUGUUGGUGAGGUAAAAGCUCACCAAGCCGACGAUCUGUAGCUGGUCUGAGAGGACGACCAGCCACACUGGGACUGAGACACGGCCCAGACUCCUACGGGAGGCAGCAGUGGGGAAUUUUGGACAAUGGGCGCAAG
This 351-nucleotide ribosomal RNA is filed under the name uncultured bacterium. RNAcentral's name for it is "bacterial SSU rRNA". It matches the Rfam family "Bacterial small subunit ribosomal RNA", at positions 30 to 381 of the family's 1533-position model. The record is from RNAcentral.